GAUCCUGGCUCAGGACGAACGCUGGCGGCGCGCCUAACACAUGCAAGUCGAACGAGCGAGAGAGAGCUUGCUUUCUCGAGCGAGUGGCGAACGGGUGAGUAACGCGUGAGGAACCUGCCUCAAAGAGGGGGACAACAGUUGGAAACGACUGCUAAUACCGCAUAAGCGCACGGUUCCGCAUGGAACAGUGUGAAAAACUCCGGUGGUACAGGAUGGAUUCGCGUCUGAUUAG
This 232-nucleotide ribosomal RNA is filed under the name uncultured bacterium. Its description in RNAcentral is "partial 16S ribosomal RNA". It matches the Rfam family "Bacterial small subunit ribosomal RNA", at positions 15 to 244 of the family's 1533-position model. The record is from RNAcentral.